CCCCGGCUGAAAAGCAAGGCGCAGCUACCGGACGGAGGCGUUUCGGGGAGGAAACGUCAGCUCCCUAGAGAGCGAGAAAGCCCGCUGCGAUGUAUCCCCCGCAGCGGGCUUUUUC
RNAcentral lists this small RNA (115 nucleotides) under Brevundimonas variabilis. Its description in RNAcentral is "Caulobacter sRNA CrfA". It matches the Rfam family "Caulobacter sRNA CrfA". The record is from Rfam by way of RNAcentral. Lineage: Bacteria; Pseudomonadati; Pseudomonadota; Alphaproteobacteria; Caulobacterales; Caulobacteraceae.